UGGGGAUUAUUGCACAAUGGGGGAAACCCUGAUGCAGCGACGCCGCGUGAACGAAGAAGGUAUUCGUAUCGUAAAGUUCUUUCCUAUGGGAAGAUAAUGACAGUACCAUAGAAGAAAGCUCCGGCUAAAUACGUGCCAGCAGCCGCGGUAAUACGUAUGGAGCGAGCGUUGUCCGGAAUUAUUGGGCGUAAAGGGUACGCAGGCGGUUUAAUAAGUCGAAUGUUAAAGAUCGGGGCUCAACCCCGCAAAGCAUUGGAAACUGAUAAACUUGAGUAGUGGAGAGGAAAGUGGAAUUCCUAGUGUAGUGGUGAAAUACGUAGAUAUUAGGAGGAAUACCAGUAGCGAAGGCGACUUUCUUGACACAAACUGACGCUGAGGUACGAAAACGUGGGGAGCAGACAGG
RNAcentral lists this ribosomal RNA (403 nucleotides) under bacterium. RNAcentral describes it as "partial 16S ribosomal RNA". It matches the Rfam family "Bacterial small subunit ribosomal RNA", at positions 355 to 776 of the family's 1533-position model. The record is from RNAcentral.